UGAAAAUUCCGAUGGUUAGAGAUGGGCAUGCGUUGUAUUAGCUAGUUGGUGGGGUAACGGCUCACCAAGGCGACGAUACAUAGGGGGACUGAGAGGUUAACCCCCCACACUGGUACUGAGACACGGACCAGGGUCCUACGGGAGGCAGCAGUGAGGAAUAUUGGUCAAUGGACGCAAGUCUGAACCACCCAUGCCGCGUGCAGGAUGACGGCUCUAUGAGUUGUAAACUGCUUUUGUACGAGGGUAAACGCAGAUACGUGUAUCUGUCUGAAAGUAUCGUACGAAUAAGGAUCGGCUAACUCCGUGCCAGCAGCCGCGGUAAUACGGAGGAUUCAAGCGCUAUCCGGAUUUAUUGGGUUUAAAGGGUGCGUAGGCGGUCUGAUAAGUUAGAGGUGAAAUUUCGGGGCUCAACCCUGAACGUGCCUCUAAUACUGUUGAGCUAGAGAGUAGUUGCGGUAGGCGGAAUGUAUGGUGUAGCGGUGAAAUGCUUAGAGAUCAUACAGAACACCGAUUGCGAAGGCAGCUUACCAAACUAUAUCUGACGUUGAGGCACGAAAGCGUGGGGAGCAAACAGGAUUAGAUACCCUGGUAGUCCACGCAGUAAACGAAGAUAACUCGUUGUCGGCGAUACACAGUCGGUGAC
Molecule: ribosomal RNA, 643 nt
Filed under: uncultured bacterium
Lineage: Bacteria
Description: bacterial SSU rRNA
Rfam family: Bacterial small subunit ribosomal RNA
Source: RNAcentral